Cercocebus atys (sooty mangabey) is the source of this 1696-nucleotide RNA transcript. It is a transcript of the gene named aspartate aminotransferase, mitochondrial-like, with no coding region annotated. Lineage: Eukaryota; Metazoa; Chordata; Mammalia; Primates; Cercopithecidae. The transcript has 2 exons. The record is from RefSeq and is a predicted model, not a curated record.
GCCCUCUGCUCGGUCCUGCGGUGGCCCACUGCCCUCCUACCGUCCACCAUGGCCCUGCUGCACUCCGGCCGCGUCCUCUCCGGGAUCGCCGCCGCCUUCCACCCGGGCCUCGCCGCCGCGGCCUCUGCCAGAGCCAGCUCCUGGUGGACCCAUGUGGAAAUGGGACCUCCAGAUCCCAUUCUGCCUUCCAGUGGACUCCCAGAAUUGGGUGUAGGAGCCUUCACUAUGGUCUGCAAAGAUGCGGAUGAAGCCAAAAGGGUAGAGUCACAGUUGAAGAUCUUGAUCCGUCCCAUGUAUUCCAACCCUCCCCUCAAUGGGGCCCGGAUUGCUGCUGCCAUUCUGAACACCCCAGAUUUGCGAAAACAAUGGUUGCAAGAAGUGAAAGGCAUGGCCGACCGCAUCAUUGGCAUGCGGACUCAACUGGUCUCCAACCUCAAGAAGGAGGGUUCCACCCACAACUGGCAACACAUCACUGACCAAAUUGGCAUGUUCUGUUUCACAGGGUUAAAGCCUGAACAGGUGGAGUGACUGACCAAGGAGUUCUCCAUCUACAUGACCAAGGACGGCCGCAUCUCUGUGGCAGGGGUCACCUCCGGCAACGUGGGCUACCUUGCCCAUGCCAUUCACCAGGUCACCAAGUAAUGUCCCUGGUGCAAGGAAACAGAGACAACCUUUCUGUCUUCAGCCUCUGCUAUUGAGAGCUUCACACAGACGAUGAGAGAGGGUGGAUGGUGGUGAGUGGAUCGUUUCUUUCAACCACAGUGUGUAACACUCAGCAUUUGAAUGUUUCUCCGAAAAGAACAUGUAGUGACACAGGGCAGAGGCAUCCGUGGCUGGUGUCUGGAACAUUAAACCAAACUCUCUCCCCUGUCCUUUUAUCUCCAACUUUUCUCAAAGAGUUUACAUGUGCAAGAAAGUCAUCGCACCAAAAAACCUGUCAAUUAUGCCAUUGCAAUAUUUCAGAAGCUUUAACUGAAGUGUCAGGUUCCUUGUGAGAAAUAGCACACGUUAGAGGCUUUGAGAGAAGACCUAGUUCUGUCGUGAGCAGUCGACCUUGUGUCUGUCCUCCCAUCUUGGAGCAACCUUAUCAACAGGCCGCACUGCAGAAAUGAUGUUUUAUGAAAACCAAUGAGGCUGCUGCCACUCCAGCAAGGAAAAUAAUGCAAUUUCCUGUCUUAUGUAAGAAAAAGAGAAGGCUCUCUUUUUCUCCCUUGUCAUUGCUGUUCUUUUCCUAUGUACAAACAUUUUUAACUACUGCAGAUUUUCAUCCCAUUCUACUGCUUGACUGACCAUCAACUCCAUCCUAUCGAGAUUUAUUUAAGAAUGAAGAACAAAAUUUUCUGCUGAUGCCAUACCCUCACCUUUCUCAGCAAAGAAUAGUGGAGAGUAGGAAACUGUACUUUAGGCAUCCUCUUGAAUGAUUGUGUAAGUUUCUCUGGUUGGGAUGUUGUCUCUGCCCAGUUGGACCUCCUCCCUUUGUUGAAUGUGGUAUACAGCCACUCAUCUCACACCGUGAGUUGUGGCGCAGGGUGGUACCAGGAAAGAGGAUAUUCUAGGCUUUGUGUGCUGCUAGCUGGGUUCAGGCUUCACCCACUGGAAAGAACCACCAUCUGCUCUAACCAUGUAGACUUAUUGCGGCCUGGUUUCUCUGUUACAAUAAAAUUACUGUAGACCCAAAAAAAAAAAAAAAAAAAAA